This 411-nucleotide ribosomal RNA is filed under the name Serratia grimesii. RNAcentral's name for it is "bacterial SSU rRNA". It matches the Rfam family "Bacterial small subunit ribosomal RNA", at positions 386 to 789 of the family's 1533-position model. Lineage: Bacteria; Pseudomonadati; Pseudomonadota; Gammaproteobacteria; Enterobacterales; Yersiniaceae. The record is from RNAcentral.
AUGCAGCCAUGCCGCGUGUGUGAAGAAGGCCUUCGGGUUGUAAAGCACUUUCAGCGAGGAGGAAGGGUUCAGUGUUAAUAGCACUGUUCAUUGACGUUACUCGCAGAAGAAGCACCGGCUAACUCCGUGCCAGCAGCCGCGGUAAUACGGAGGGUGCAAGCGUUAAUCGGAAUUACUGGGCGUAAAGCGCACGCAGGCGGUUUGUUAAGUCAGAUGUGAAAUCCCCGCGCUUAACGUGGGAACUGCAUUUGAAACUGGCAAGCUAGAGUCUUGUAGAGGGGGGUAGAAUUCCAGGUGUAGCGGUGAAAUGCGUAGAGAUCUGGAGGAAUACCGGUGGCGAAGGCGGCCCCCUGGACAAAGACUGACGCUCAGGUGCGAAAGCGUGGGGAGCAAACAGGAUUAGAUACCCUG